Molecule: ribosomal RNA, 482 nt
Filed under: uncultured bacterium
Lineage: Bacteria
Description: partial 16S ribosomal RNA
Rfam family: Bacterial small subunit ribosomal RNA
Source: RNAcentral
AUUGAACGCUGGCGGCAUGCUUUACACAUGCAAGUCGAACGGUAACAGGCCGCAAGGUGCUGACGAGUGGCGAACGGGGGAGUAAUGCAUCGGAACGUGCCCAGUCGUGGGGGAUAACUACUCGAAAGAGUAGCUAAUACCGCAUACGAUCGAUGGAUGAAAGCGGGGGACCGUAAGGCCUCGCGCGAUUGGAGCGGCCGAUGUCAGAUUAGGUAGUUGGUGGGGUAAAGGCUCACCAAGCCAACGAUCUGUAGCUGGUCUGAGAGGACGACCAGCCACACUGGGACUGAGACACGGCCCAGACUCCUACGGGAGGCAGCAGUGGGGAAUUUUGGACAAUGGGCGCAAGCCUGAUCCAGCAAUGCCGCGUGCAGGAAGAAGGCCUUCGGGUUGUAAACUGCUUUUGUACGGAACGAAACGGCUCUGGUUAAUACCCGGGGCUAAUGACGGUACCGUAAGAAUAAGCACCGGCUAACUACGUG